AAUAGGUACUCUGGGGAUAACAGGCUGAUCGCGCUCGAGAGUUCAUAUCGACAGCGCGGAUUGGCACCUCGAUGUCGGCUCGUCGUAUCCUGGGGCUGAACAAGGUCCCAAGGGUCCGGCUGUUCGCCGGUUAAAACGGCACGUGAGCUGGGUUUAGAACGUCGUGAGACAGUUCGGUCUCUAUCCAGUGUGGGCGCACGAUGAUUGAAGAGAAGCUCUCCUUAGUACGAGAGGACCAGGAGAGACGAACCUCUAGUGUUCCGGUUAUCCCGCCAGGGGUAAUGGCCGGGUAGCUAUGUUCGGAAGGGAUAAGUGCUGAAUGCAUAUAAGUACGAAGCCCCUCUCAAGAUGAAUCAUCGAUCCGUAGCAAUACGGUGAAGGCACCUCGUAGACUACGAGGUUGAUAGGCAGCGUGUGUAAGCCCUGAAAGGGGUUCAGCUAAGCUGUACUAAUUAGCCAAACACUUGUCCUUUUUUU
RNAcentral lists this ribosomal RNA (477 nucleotides) under Elusimicrobiota bacterium. RNAcentral describes it as "Elusimicrobia bacterium (anaerobic digester metagenome) partial 23S ribosomal RNA". It matches the Rfam family "Bacterial large subunit ribosomal RNA", at positions 2458 to 2925 of the family's 2925-position model. Lineage: Bacteria; Pseudomonadati; Elusimicrobiota. The record is from RNAcentral.